UUAAUUUGAAAAGGCAUCAAAGCCGUCGAGAGCUUUUUUUUCCCUUGGGCUCGGCGCCCCUUUUUUCUUUGACAGAUCAGAAUUCAGUAUUCCUCCAAUUGAGCGGCUUGUGGUAACAUUGUUUAUCGCUUUCUCUUGUCAUUCAUCUUUCUAUCUUUCGGCAGACUCAUAUUCGGUGUAAAACGAUUAGUGUUUUUGAACCAAAAGUCAAUUAGGGUUUUUCUUCACGCAAAAAGAAUGUUGUAGUUUGUUGUCUCUUUCCCUCCGCGAUAAAUCUGAGAUGGGAAUGGUGUCGCCUGAACGAGACGAUGAUUAAGAGGAACGAGGAAAGAACGCGCUGCAACUGGGCGAAGAAGAACGAAUGGCGGCGUUCGAGGGAAUUUUGACCUUUUCGAGUGUUUCAUGUUUGUGGUGACCCCAUUUCGGGCUCCACCGGUCGUUUAUGUUUUUUCUAAUUUCAUUUUUUGUUGGAUGUUUGAACAAUUUCUGUUUUUCUGCUUUGGUCGUCGGGUUGCUUUUCACGCUUGGGUUGUGAGCCACGUUUUAAGGUUUUCUUUAUUUAGAUCGAUUGGUUACACGAAUGUGCUAGGUAUUGCUAACGCUUUGUGCCUCCACGCCAUACCCGUUUUGGGUGGUAUUCCUUCUAAGGGUUCGAUUGAUGAGAUGAAUACAUUUGGCCAAGAGCUUGCCUUAAUAAUAUUGAAGUAGCCUCUUUUAAUUUUUUUUUGAAAAGGCAUCAUUCAUUCUUUAAUGUGUACUAUUUGGAAAUACUGUUAUUAAUGAAAUGUGUACUAUUAAAGUACGUAAACGGUA
This 813-nucleotide long non-coding RNA is filed under the name Linum usitatissimum (flax). Its description in RNAcentral is "long non-coding RNA (LUSI_LNC006535)". Lineage: Eukaryota; Viridiplantae; Streptophyta; Magnoliopsida; Malpighiales; Linaceae. The record is from RNAcentral.